UUGACGGGGCCCGCACAAGCGGUGGAGCAUGUGGUUUAAUUCGACGCAACGCGAAGAACCUUACCAGGGCUUGACAUCCCCUGACCGCGUAUGAAGUACGUUUUCACCCUCGGGUGACAGGGAGACAGGUGCUGCAUGGCUGUCGUCAGCUCGUGUCGUGAGAUGUUGGGUUAAGUCCCGCAACGAGCGCAACCCUUGUCUUUAGUUACCAUCAUUAAGUUGGGGACUCUAGAGAGACUGCCGGUGAUAAACCGGAGGAAGGUGGGAUGACGUCAAAUCAUCAUGCCCCUUAUGGCCUGGGCUACAAACGUAAUACAAUGGCGUAUACAAAGGGAUGCGAAAGGGCGACCUGGAGCAAAACUCACAAAGUACGUCUCAGUUCAGAUUGGAGUCUGCAACUCGACUCCAUGAAGGCGGAAUCGCUAGUAAUCGCGGAUCAGCAUGCCGCGGUGAAUACGUUCUCGGGGUCU
This 470-nucleotide ribosomal RNA is filed under the name uncultured Erysipelothrix sp. RNAcentral's name for it is "bacterial SSU rRNA". It matches the Rfam family "Bacterial small subunit ribosomal RNA", at positions 910 to 1382 of the family's 1533-position model. Lineage: Bacteria; Bacillati; Bacillota; Erysipelotrichia; Erysipelotrichales; Erysipelotrichaceae. The record is from RNAcentral.